CGGUUCGAGUCCGCUUACCUCCACUGAACCACCUUCUAAUUGUCGAAUUUACGGAGACUUCGGUUGGUAGUGAUUUAGAUUUGUUUUACAUCAUUGAACCUAGCUUCUUAUCAUUCCUCCAAAUCAAUUGAAAAAUAGAUUUGGUUGAUAGGAUGCUGGGCUCACUGCAAGAUAAAAAUUGCAAGUGUGUUCAGUA
This 196-nucleotide unclassified non-coding RNA is filed under the name uncultured cyanobacterium. RNAcentral describes it as "partial 16S-23S ribosomal RNA intergenic spacer". Lineage: Bacteria; Bacillati; Cyanobacteriota. The record is from RNAcentral.